Nematolebias whitei (Rio pearlfish) is the source of this 361-nucleotide long non-coding RNA. RefSeq lists it as uncharacterized. The record is from RefSeq and is a predicted model, not a curated record. NCBI's taxonomy places the organism in Eukaryota, Metazoa, Chordata, Actinopteri, Cyprinodontiformes, Rivulidae. The transcript has 3 exons.
ACGUUUGCCGACUGUGUUGGAGAUGAACUGCCUCUGGGUUGGGAGGAGGUCUACGACCAGCAAGUGGGAGUUUACUACAUCGACCACAUCAACAAGACCACCCAGAUUGAGAAUCCGCGGACUCAGUGGCGGCAGGAGCAGGAGCGCAUGUUGAAGGAGUACCUUGUGUUGGCCCAGGAGGCCCUCAACGCCAAGAAGGAGAUGUAUCUGGUUAAGCAGCAGCGACUAGAGCUGGCUCAGCAGGAGAUGCUGCACUUCCAUGAGCUUUCUGAGGACAACCACUCUAUCACCAGCACUCUUUCCAGCUCGUCUUCAAAUGCAAAAUAUGACCCAGAUCAAAUCAAAGUGGAAAUAACCUGUA